RNAcentral lists this long non-coding RNA (1998 nucleotides) under Lupinus angustifolius (narrow-leaved blue lupine). RNAcentral's name for it is "long non-coding RNA (LANG_LNC000263)". The record is from RNAcentral. Lineage: Eukaryota; Viridiplantae; Streptophyta; Magnoliopsida; Fabales; Fabaceae.
AAAUUUUCAGCUUUCCUAUUAAGGUAACUUUUGGAGAAUGACUUUUUUAAAGCGGUACUAAAUCAUCAAAGCCUAAUCAACACAAAUUUACACUACCAAGUAAUAUACAGCAACAAAAUCAAACUCUUGGGUUUGUAAAGAUGAAAACUGUAGUGCUUGCAAGAUGAAAACUGUAUAUUUUAAAAUAUAAUAUUUAAAUUUUAAUAUCAUAUUUGACAUUAUUAUUUUUUUAAAUAAUAAGGAUAUCAUUUUAUUUUGAACUAAUAAUAAGGACAUCAAGUCUACUUUACAUAUGUAUAUAUUAUAAAAUUCAGCAGAGGGGUAUAGGGUAAUGAUUGUUCUUCUAUUUCUUUCUUUUCUUUUUGGAGUAGGGAUAUAGGAUAUGUUUCUUUAAUAAUAAUAUUUCUUUUAUUUUCUUUUGUAGUCUAAAGAGUAGGAUGUUCAUUAUGAAGUUUAUAAGUAGUAACAUAUAUUAUAGACAUAGAAAAUCAGAAGAAAAAAAGCAAAGAGGUGAAAAGUACCUGAAAAUGUUUGAAGUUACACAAACUGGUUCAUCAAAUAAUGAUGCAACCUAUGGUAGUCCCUAGUUAAGUGGUGAAAUAUGUACAAACAUACAGUCUGAAUUAACAACAAAUAAAAAUAGAAGUUUAUGUGUGUUGCAACUUAAUGGUUAUUACCAUAUUUAGAUUUUAAAUUGGUUAUAGAAGAGAGAAAAAUAGAAGAAAAAACAGGAUCGUAUGAGAAAUACCUGAGAGUUGGAAGAAAUUAUUUUGUGAAGCCAAUAAAUUAUUGGUUCUAAUGAAACAAAUUCCAAGCCAAGGUGAGUAGUAGUAGUAGCAUGUUCUUCAAUAAACAACACAAUAAAAGUAGAAGUUCUGGUGAGUUAUUGGUUAUUAAGAGAUCUUAAAUUUGUUAUAGUAGAGAGAAAAAUGAAAAAAGAAAUAGAGAAAGGAUGAGAAAUACCUGAAAUGAGGAAUAAAUUAUUAGUUCUAAUGAAACAAAUUCCAACCCAAGAUGAGUAGUACUAAUAGCAAUAUGUGAGGGUGAUACCUAACUUUAACCCCAAUUACCUCAAGUAGUACUAAUAGCAUAUGAUUUAUGAAAAGUUGUUGGAAUAGAAUAAUUAAUCAUUGUUGUGAUGUGGAUGUGUGUUGAUGAUGUGCAGAGACUGAGAGGUCAUUCGUAGUACUAAAAGUUUUAUUAUUGAUAAUGCUUAGGAUUUGAUUAAGUGAGUUUGAGGCCCACCAAUAUUUUAUUUCUUGAAAAAUGCCCUUGAAUAUUGUCAUGAUAUAGAAAAUGGCAGUUUUGUAACUGUUGAAAACCUUCUUCAUUAACUAGUGUAAAUAAUGGCAGUUUUGUAACUUGGUGGUAUUGGUGUUCAGUUUUUUAACUGGCAUAAAAUGUGGCAUUAUCUUUGUUAAGUUUUUACCCAUGAUGAGGAUGAUUUUGCAUGAUAUGUUUACAUAGUUGGUUUUAUAUAGUAUCAGAGCAACUAUUUUAUGUGUUUUAUAUAAAUUUGACAGGCACGGUACAAUUCUCAAUUAUUUCUGACUAAUUACUAUUUUAUGUUCCCACUUUAAAUACUGUAAUAUAAAAUCUGCAUUGCAGUUGACAUGCUCUAAAUAUGUGCUUAUGGAUAUUUCUUUAUUGUUGUUUUUAUUAUCAGAGUGAUCCAUGAUUCUGGUUUCUCUUGAUGCUGCUGAGAUGGUAUAUUGAUUGAUGAUCAAUGAGGUGAUGCUGUGAUGCUGUGAGGCUAUUUUGGAGUUUCAUAUUAUUUUCAAUUUUUAAUGAAGUUGGAUAUUUCUUCUAUGGUACAAACAAUAGAAGAAACUUUUGGUAGAAAUUAAAAAAUAGUGAGGGGUAAAAUAGCGAUUCAGAAAUUACACCAUAGUGUGAUGGUUAUACUAUGUAUUUUAUAUUUUAUUAUCUUAGCAUAUCACUUUUGUUUUGCAGUUUAAAAUUUGGGUAUAAUAUGGAAGUUACUUUAAUAAUAGAGCA